Molecule: ribosomal RNA, 492 nt
Filed under: uncultured bacterium
Lineage: Bacteria
Description: partial 16S ribosomal RNA
Rfam family: Bacterial small subunit ribosomal RNA
Source: RNAcentral
AGUGAACGCUGGCGGUAGGCCUAACACAUGCAAGUCGAACGGCAGCACAGUAAGAGCUUGCUCUUACGGGUGGCGAGUGGCGGACGGGUGAGGAAUACAUCGGUAUCUACUUUUUCGUGGGGGAUAACGUAGGGAAACUUACGCUAAUACCGCAUACGACCUACGGGUGAAAGCAGGGGAUCUUCGGACCUUGCGCGAUUGAAUGAGCCGAUGUCGGAUUAGCUAGUUGGCGGGGUAAAGGCCCACCAAGGCGACGAUCCGUAGCUGGUCUGAGAGGAUGAUCAGCCACACUGGAACUGAGACACGGUCCAGACUCCUACGGGAGGCAGCAGUGGGGAAUAUUGGACAAUGGGCGCAAGCCUGAUCCAGCCAUACCGCGUGGGUGAAGAAGGCCUUCGGGUUGUAAAGCCCUUUUGUUGGGAAAUAAAAGCAGCAGGUUAAUACCCCGCUGUUCUGACGGUACCCAAAGAAUAAGCACCGGCUAACUUCGUG